GGUUGUGGCUCAGUGGUAGAGCACUUGCCUAGCAUGCAUAAAGUGCUAGGUUGGAUCCCCGGCACCA
RNAcentral lists this transfer RNA (67 nucleotides) under Marmota monax (woodchuck). RNAcentral's name for it is "tRNA.Ala". The record is from RNAcentral. Lineage: Eukaryota; Metazoa; Chordata; Mammalia; Rodentia; Sciuridae.